RNAcentral lists this ribosomal RNA (120 nucleotides) under Entomoneis cf. alata. RNAcentral describes it as "partial 5.8S ribosomal RNA". It matches the Rfam family "5.8S ribosomal RNA", at positions 1 to 117 of the family's 154-position model. From Rfam's summary of the family: 5.8S ribosomal RNA (5.8S rRNA) is a component of the large subunit of the eukaryotic ribosome. The record is from RNAcentral. Lineage: Eukaryota; Bacillariophyta; Bacillariophyceae; Surirellales; Surirellaceae.
UACAACUUUCAGCAAUGGAUGUCUAGGCUCUCACAACGAUGAAGAACGCAGCAAAAUGCGAUACGUAAUGCGAAUUGCAAUACCUCGUGAAUCAUCAAAAUUUUGAACGCACAUUGCGCU